This 206-nucleotide non-coding RNA is filed under the name Caloramator quimbayensis. Its description in RNAcentral is "T-box sequence". It matches the Rfam family "T-box leader". Rfam says of the family: Uncharged tRNA acts as the effector for transcription antitermination of genes in the T-box leader family. The record is from RNAcentral. Lineage: Bacteria; Bacillati; Bacillota; Clostridia; Eubacteriales; Clostridiaceae.
GAUGAUGCAAUGAAAGAAAGAAGUAGAGGGGACUUUAUUUCAGAGAGAAGCUGCCUUGGCUGAAAGCGGCUUUAAUAAAUAUCCUUGAAGAUGCGUUCUGGAGCAUUUCCAUGGGUUACUGUGGAGACGGGUUUACCGUUAUAUAAUUUAAAGUGAGGCUUUAGCCUAAGUAGGGUGGAACCGCGGAUUAACCUUUCGUCCCUUUU